This 424-nucleotide unclassified non-coding RNA is filed under the name uncultured Inocybe. RNAcentral describes it as "sequence contains ITS2". The stretch from base 1 to 154 matches the Rfam family "5.8S ribosomal RNA". Lineage: Eukaryota; Fungi; Basidiomycota; Agaricomycetes; Agaricales; Cortinariaceae. The record is from RNAcentral.
AACUUUUAGCAAUGGAUCACUUGGCUCUCGCAUCGAUGAAGAACGCAGCGAAAUGAGAUAAGUAAUGUGAAUUGCAGAAUUCAGUGAAUCAUCGAAUCUUUGAACGCAUCUUGCGCUCCUUGGUAUUCCGAGGAGCAUGCCUGUUUGAGUUUCAUUUGACCUUCUCAACCACAUCGUUCUUGUUUUGAAUGUGUGUGGCUUGGAUGUGGGGGGAAUAAUUUUAUUUUGCAGGCUUCAAAUCAAGAAGCCUGCUCCCCUGAAAUGCAUUAGUGGUGUCUGAGCUGCUAUUGGUGUGAUAAAUUAUCUAUGCCUUUGGUGAUGCUGGUCAGCACGGCUUAUAACGGACUUGUGAUCAUUUGACAAAUUUGACCUCAAAUCAGGUAGGACUACCCGCUGAACUUAAGCAUAUCAAUAAGCGGAGGCU